RNAcentral lists this ribosomal RNA (180 nucleotides) under uncultured Glomeromycotina. RNAcentral's name for it is "partial small subunit ribosomal RNA". The record is from RNAcentral. Lineage: Eukaryota; Fungi; Glomeromycota.
GAAUCAGUACGCUGGUCGUGCCUUCGGUAUGUACUGGUGUCACUGGUUUCUCCCUUCUGAAGAACCAUCAUGCCAUUUACUUGGUGUGGUGGGGAAUCAGGACUGUUACUUUGAAAAAAUUAGAGUGUUUAAAACAGGCGUUUGCUUGAAUACAUUAGCAUGGAAUAACGGAAUAGGACU